GGCUCCAUAGUGUAGUGGUUAGCAUGUCUGCUUUACACGCAGAAGGUGCUGGGUUCAUGCACCAAGUGGAGCCA
Molecule: non-coding RNA, 74 nt
Organism: Pteropus alecto (black flying fox)
Lineage: Eukaryota; Metazoa; Chordata; Mammalia; Chiroptera; Pteropodidae
Source: Rfam